Molecule: ribosomal RNA, 492 nt
Filed under: uncultured bacterium
Lineage: Bacteria
Description: partial 16S ribosomal RNA
Rfam family: Bacterial small subunit ribosomal RNA
Source: RNAcentral
AGUGAACGCUGGCGGUAGGCCUAACACAUGCAAGUCGAACGGCAGCACAGUAAGAGCUUGCUCUUACGGGUGGCGAGUGGCGGACGGGUGAGGAAUACAUCGGAAUCUACUUUUUCGUGGGGGAUAACGUAGGGAAACUUACGCUAAUACCGCAUACGACCUACGGGUGAAAGCAGGGGAUCUUCGGACCUUGCGCGAUUGAAUGAGCCGAUGUCGGAUUAGCUAGUUGGCGGGGUAAAGGCCCACCAAGGCGACGAUCCGUAGCUGGUCUGAGAGGAUGAUCAGCCACACUGAGACUGAGGCACGGUCCAGACUCCUACGGGAGGCAACAGUGGGGAAUAUUGGACGAUGGGCGCAAGCCUGAUCCAGCCAUACCGCGUGGGUGAAGAAGGCCUUCGGGUUGUAAAGCCCUUUUGUUGGGAAAGAAAAGCAGCAGGUUAAUACCCCGCUGUUCUGACGGUACCCAAAGAAUAAGCACCGGCUGACUUCGUG